Petromyzon marinus (sea lamprey) is the source of this 75-nucleotide non-coding RNA. The record is from Rfam. NCBI's taxonomy places the organism in Eukaryota, Metazoa, Chordata, Hyperoartia, Petromyzontiformes, Petromyzontidae.
GGGUUGUAAAAUCUCUGCAGGCAACUGUGGAAAGGUGACCUUGUCACACAUUGGCCUGAAGGGAUUAUACAAACU